CUAAGCUGAGGCCGACAGGCGUAGGCGAUGGAUAACAGGUUGAUAUUCCUGUACCACCUAUAAUCGUUUUAAUCGAUGGGGGGACGCAGUAGGAUAGGCGAAGCGUGCGAUUGGAUUGCACGUCUAAGCAGUAAGGCUGAGUAUUAGGCAAAUCCGGUACUCGUUAAGGCUGAGCUGUGAUNGGGAGAAGACAUUGAGUCUUCGAGUCGUUGAUUUCACACUGCCGAGAAAAGCCUCUAGAUAGAAAAUAGGUGCCCGUACCGCAAACCGACACAGGUAGUCAAGAUGAGAAUUCUAAGGUGAGCGAGCGAACUCUCGUUAAGGAACUCGGCAAAAUGACCCCGUAACUUCGGGAGAAGGGGUGCUCUUUAGGGUUAACGCCCAGAAG
Molecule: ribosomal RNA, 388 nt
Filed under: Staphylococcus aureus
Lineage: Bacteria; Bacillati; Bacillota; Bacilli; Caryophanales; Staphylococcaceae
Description: partial 23S ribosomal RNA
Rfam family: Bacterial large subunit ribosomal RNA
Source: RNAcentral